Molecule: long non-coding RNA, 452 nt
Organism: Aquila chrysaetos chrysaetos
Lineage: Eukaryota; Metazoa; Chordata; Aves; Accipitriformes; Accipitridae
Exons: 4
Source: RefSeq, a predicted model, not a curated record
GAAAAGACAGAUGAAGAGGAAGGAUGUGGUGUCCAAGAGGACAGUGACAGAGCAUAGGAUCUCUAUGAGCUGUAAUAGAGCAGAACAGAGUCAAGUACAGCUUUGACCUUUCCUGAAGAUGUCUUCUCAAUGGCAAGAUCUAUUUAGCUGGAAUGAGUAAAAGAAACUUGAAUAACUUAAAAAAAAUAAGAAUGGCGCUCUCCUUACAGAAAACUUGGUCUCUUUAUGCCUGGAUAAUUAAUAUCCUCACAAGCCUUCUCGUGCUUUGGGGAUUUAUGAAUUUAUUUAUUCAGAAGGUCUCCUGCCUACUAGAAUCCCAAUGUGACUUAGUGUAUCUGAGUGGUCCUACCAACAUCAUCAAGAUUACUCACCAUCUGAGUAGCUAUAUGCGUACUUUGCUGGAGGAGACCUCCAGGGUCUGAUCCUUGAAGAUAACAAGCACUGUUUGGGUU